Molecule: long non-coding RNA, 1611 nt
Organism: Lathyrus oleraceus (garden pea)
Lineage: Eukaryota; Viridiplantae; Streptophyta; Magnoliopsida; Fabales; Fabaceae
Exons: 6
Source: RefSeq, a predicted model, not a curated record
ACUAAUAAUAACUGAUGAUACAGCAAAACGAAAAGAUUAUGCAUUGGGUUUUGUGGGUCUUAAUAGGUGUCGUUCCAAAUACCACCUGGCAUUUAAAACAAAAGCCAAAUAUCUUUUUGAAAAUAGCCACGGAUGAUAUCCGAUUCCCUUUUCUACAAAAUCCACCUUCUUUCUCAAAGAUCUCAUUCUUUUGAACAGCAACCAAAAUUCAACAAACAUAACACAACAAGAACAUGCAAGGAACCAUGAAGCUACAUCAAAGAAAAGAUGGAUCGAAAAUGGAACUAACCGAUUGCAGCUGGAUCGACCAACGAACGCGUAAGUAAGGGUUUCGUGGUGGUCCGAUCCCUCUCUCUGAAUCGCUCUCUUCUAUUUAUGCCAGGCUGAUUAGGGUUUCGGUUGGUGUAUAAAGGUUCAAAGGAGAAAGCUUUCAGAAGUGCUUUUUCAUGCUCAGAAGUGCUUUUAUCUUGUUUGAUGCUAUCUUCCGGAAAGUGAAAUUUGGUGAAAACUUGAGGAGCUCUUAAUUCUUUCAAUGGCGAUUUCGGCCUCAACGUUAAGAAAGCCUGCUCAACAUUGAUAGAGUCUUUAGCAUUUGUCUCAAAGAAAGGGACCGUCAUCGGCGAAUUGGGUGUUUCCACAGAUAAGUAAUCUUUUCCAUUAACCUAACCCCAAUUCCAUUAUGCAGACACUAAUCUCUUCUUAGUGUUUUGUUCGAUUGUGUAGUAGUCGAAUUCAAUUGCAAAACGGAUCUAUCUGUUGUUUUUUUCAUCCGGUAGAUCAGUUUCAUUAUUAAUCCCAUUGAUGUUUGGUGUACAAAGCUUGUCUGCAAUGCCAUCACACUUACCAUGAUACUUCAUCAUGUCCUGUAUCUUUAACAUAACUGGCACUUUGUAAUCACUUGGUUUUGCGCCUUAAUUGGUUUGCGUUAUGUUGAACUAGUGCAGGAUGUGGGUUAGCUCGAUUGCAUGGACCUGCUGCGCGAAGCUCGUGUUGGUUUGAUGGUUCAAGAUGCAGCAACCAAAGACAGAAGUGCUACUUCAAUUCUUUGAGGUCUUGAUAUCAGCUUAAAUAAUACACAUGGUUUGAGGUCUACCGUAAGGCUUGCCAACAAAUUGAUCUAAGGACAUCCAAGGCAUAGAACAAUGCAUGGAGACCAAAGCACCUCUGGUUUGCUUCAAUGACAAUCAUGUCAGCAAAAUCAACACUUGUUUUUCGCCACUGCAUGCACGAUGUUACCAGCAAUGCCUUUAGCUUCAAACAGACUGUGUAGAGGUAUGCCAAAUGGAGUGGCCCAUAUGUUUGCAAGUUGUAAUUUUGCAAAUUUGUCGGCGGUGUUGGGAGGACAGCCAGGCCAAGAGCCUAAACUCUACCAAGCGGCACUUUGUAUCGAACUCGGUUUAGUUUAAGAGAAUUUUUGUUGCCAUGCCUUACUUUCUUCCAUUAUUGGCUGUAUGAAGUAUUUGUAGGAUAAAGCUUUCAAGCUAUUAAGAUUUGUACUGUUCUGAAUUAUUCCUCUAUGAUGAAUGUAUCCUAAAGUUCCUUGCUCUUGCAGAACUGUUGUUAAUGAAUUUAAACCAGCAUAGAUAAAAAUCAGUUUGAGGGUGAGUCCUG